AUACGUAGGGUGCAAGCGUUAAUCGGAAUUACUGGGCGGAAAGCGUGCGCAGGCGGUUUUUUAAGGACGAGGUGAAAGCCCCCGGCUCAACCUGGGAACCGCCUUUGUGACCGCAAGGGUAGAGGACGACAGAGGGGGGUGGGAGUCCGCGUGUAGAAGUUAACUGCGUAGAUAUUCGGAGGAACACCGAUGGCGAAGGCAAUUCCCUGGGCCUGUACUGACGCUCAUGCACGAAAGCGUGGGGAGCAAACAGGAUUAGAUACCCUGGUAGUCCACGCCCUAAACGAUGUCAACUGGUUGUUGGGUCUUCAUUGACUCAGUAACGAAGCUAACGCGUGAAGUUGACCGCCUGGGGAGUACGGCCGCAAGGUUGAAACUCAAAUGAAUUGGCGGGG
Molecule: ribosomal RNA, 395 nt
Filed under: uncultured bacterium
Lineage: Bacteria
Description: partial 16S ribosomal RNA
Rfam family: Bacterial small subunit ribosomal RNA
Source: RNAcentral